GAUGAACGCUGGCGGCGUGCCUAACACAUGCAAGUCGAGCGGCAGCGAGGGGUGCUUGCACCCUGUCGGCGAGCGGCGGACGGCUGAGUAACGCGUGGGAACGUGCCCCAAAGUGAGGAAUAACUGCCCGAAAGGGUAGCUAAUACCGCAUAUUAUCUUCGGAUCAAAGGAUUUAUCCGCUUUGGGAGCGGCUCGCGUCGGAUUAGGUAGUUGGUGAGGUAAUGGCUCACCAAGCCGACGAUCCGUAGCUGGUCUGAGAGGAUGACCAGCCAGACUGGAACUGAGACACGGUCCAGACUCCUACGGGAAGCAGCAGUGAGGAAUCUUCCACAAUGGGCGAAAGCCUGAUGGAGCAACGCCGCGUGCAGGACGAAGGCCUUCGGGUUGGAAACUGCUUUUAUAAGUGAGGAAUAUGACGGUAACUUAUGAAUAAGGAUCGGCUAACUACGUG
Molecule: ribosomal RNA, 451 nt
Filed under: uncultured bacterium
Lineage: Bacteria
Description: partial 16S ribosomal RNA
Rfam family: Bacterial small subunit ribosomal RNA
Source: RNAcentral